UACGGAGGGUGCGAGCGUUGUCCGGAAUUACUGGGCGUAAAGGGCGCGUAGGCGGCCUGUUAAGUCGAACGUGAAAUCCCCGGGCUCAACCCGGGAACUGCGUCCGAUACUGGUAGGCUUGAAUCCGGGAGAGGGAUGCGGAAUUCCAGGUGUAGCGGUGAAAUGCGUAGAUAUCUGGAGGAACACCGGUGGCGAAGGCGGCAUCCUGGACCGGCAUCGACGCUGAGGCGCGAAAGCCAGGGGAGCAAACGGG
Molecule: ribosomal RNA, 253 nt
Filed under: uncultured bacterium
Lineage: Bacteria
Description: partial 16S ribosomal RNA
Rfam family: Bacterial small subunit ribosomal RNA
Source: RNAcentral